This 489-nucleotide ribosomal RNA is filed under the name uncultured bacterium. RNAcentral describes it as "bacterial SSU rRNA". It matches the Rfam family "Bacterial small subunit ribosomal RNA", at positions 28 to 507 of the family's 1533-position model. The record is from RNAcentral.
GAUGAACGCUAGCGGGAGGCUUAACACAUGCAAGUCGAGGGGCAUCACGAGGUAGCAAUACUUUGGUGGCGACCGGCGCACGGGUGCGUAACGCGUAUGGAACCUACCCACCGCAGGGGGAUAACCCGCCGAAAGGCGGACUAAUACCCCAUGGUUCCCCGACCCUGCCUGGGGUUGGGGGUAAAGCCUACGGGCGGCGGUGGAUGGCCCUGCGUGCCAUUAGCUGGCUGGUGGGGUAACGGCCCACCAGGGCGACGAUGGCUAGGGGUCCUGAGAGGGUGGUCCCCCACACUGGUACUGAGACACGGACCAGACUCCUACGGGAGGCAGCAGUGAGGAAUAUUGGUCAAUGGGCGCAAGCCUGAACCAGCCAUCCCGCGUGCAGGAAGACGGCCCUAUGGGUUGUAAACUGCUUUUCCAGGGAGAGAAACUUACGCACGUGUUGCGUGACUGACGGUACCCUGGGAAUAAGCAUCGGCUAACUCCGUG